This 802-nucleotide ribosomal RNA is filed under the name uncultured crenarchaeote. Its description in RNAcentral is "bacterial SSU rRNA". It matches the Rfam family "Archaeal small subunit ribosomal RNA", at positions 85 to 868 of the family's 1478-position model. Lineage: Archaea; Thermoproteati; Thermoproteota. The record is from RNAcentral.
ACKGCUCAGUAACACGUGGCUAACUUACCCUCAAGACGGGAACAACCUCGGGAAACUGAGGCUAAUGUCCGAUAGGUGGGGAGGCCUGGAAUGGUCCCUCACCAAAAAGGAACUAGUGGCAUGCUUGCUAGUUUCGCUGGAGGAUAGGGCCGCGUCCGAUCAGGUCGCUGGUGAAGUAACGGCUCACCAGGCCUAUAACCGGUACGGGCCGUGAGAGCGGUAGCCCGGAGAUGGGCACUGAGAUAAGGGCCCAGGCCCUACGGGGCGCAGCAGGCGCGAAAACUCCGCAAUGCGCGAAAGCGUGACGGGGUCACCCCGAGUGCCGUCCGCUGAGGAUGGCUUUUGCCUGGUCUAACCAGCCGGGUGAAUAAGGGGAGGGCAAGUCUGGUGUCAGCCGCCGCGGUAAUACCAGCUCCCCGAGUGGUUGGGACGAUUAUUGGGUCUGAAGCGUCCGUAGCCGGCCGGAAAAGUUCCCCGUUAAAUCUGGCGAUCCAAUCGUUGGGCUGCGGGGAAUACUCUUCGGCUUGGGGGCGAGGGAGGUCGGCGGUAGUCCCGGGGUAGGGGCGAAAUCCUAUAAUCCCGGGAGGACCACCAGUGGCGAAGGCGGCCGACUAAAACGCGCCCGACGGUGAGGGACGAAAGCUGGGGGAGCGAACGGGAUUAGAUACCCCGGUAGUCCCAGCUGUAAACGAUGCAGGCUAGGUGUUGGGACGGCUACGAGCUGUCCCAGUGCCGCAGGGAAGCCAUUAAGCCUGCCACCUGGGAAGUACGGCCGCAAGGCUGAAUUCUCACGAACAAUUUU